AAAACAUCGCCUCUUGAAAAACAUAAGAGGUCCAGCCUGCCCAGUGACAUCUGUUAAACGGCCGCGGUAUCCUAACCGUGCGAAGGUAGCGUAAUCACUUGUCCUUUAAAUGGGGACUAGUAUGAAUGGCAUCACGAGGGUUAUACUGUCUCCUUUUUCUAAUCAGUAAAACUAAUCUCCCCGUGAAGAAGCGGGGAUGCAUCUAUAAGACGAGAAGACCCUAUGGAGCUUCAAACAUAACAGCACUCGCUAUUACACACGCUAAUCUCAGGAAAAUAACCUUUAUUUUAGCAUUCUGUCUGUAAGUUUUAGGUUGGGGUGACCGCGGAGUAAAAAAUAACCUCCACACUGAAAGGGACCUUCCCUAAGCAAAAAGUCACAACUUUAUGCAUCAAUAAAUUGACACCAAUUGACCCAAUAUUUUGAUCAACGAAACAAGUUACCCUAGGGAUAACAGCGCAAUCCACUUCGAGAGCCCUUAUCGACAAGUGGGUUUACGACCUCGAUGUUGGAUCAGGGUACCCCAGUGGUGCAGCCGCUACUAAAGGUUCGUUUGUUCAACGAUUAAAACCCUA
This 575-nucleotide ribosomal RNA is filed under the name Gastrotheca dunni (Dunn's marsupial frog). RNAcentral's name for it is "partial 16S ribosomal RNA". It matches the Rfam family "Bacterial large subunit ribosomal RNA", at positions 1810 to 2598 of the family's 2925-position model. The record is from RNAcentral. Lineage: Eukaryota; Metazoa; Chordata; Amphibia; Anura; Hemiphractidae.